Molecule: long non-coding RNA, 2421 nt
Organism: Argiope bruennichi
Lineage: Eukaryota; Metazoa; Arthropoda; Arachnida; Araneae; Araneidae
Exons: 3
Source: RefSeq, a predicted model, not a curated record
UACUCUACUUCUAAAUGGACUUUGCUACUUAAACCUCCAUAGCUUCUUCCGUACUUUAAAUUGCAUCUAAUGAACUGCUUCAGUUUUCAGUUAAACGCUUUUAAGCAAUCUUUCCUCUACUCAACCGACGCACGAAUAGUAGAUAACUUCUGUUUUUCCUCUGCUAGUUAUUAUCUCAAACUGUGUAGAAGUGCCUAGGUACUAAAGCUCUCCAUGCAUCUAAUUCAAUUAUGCCUGGCAAGUGUAUGUUUAAACCUUUAUGAGAAGUUAAAGAAGAAUUUGCAAAUUGGCUCCGAUCGAUCGAAAAUAAGAAUAAAACAAGAUGUAUUUGGUGCAUAAAAGAGAUAGAUAUAUUAAACGUGGAUGAAGCUGUUCUAAAAACAUACAUGAAAGACACGAAUGUUUGAACAACAAGGAUCUUCGGCAACAUCAUGGUAAGCCAUUCUACUUGCCAGCAAAGGGGUACAAUCAAGUCGUCUGCGGUCAUCGGUCAGAGUGAUCAAGGAUCGUUCCAGGAUUGGAAAAGAGCCGCUUUUGGUGAGUUUCAUGGCAGAGACCUUUGGUUUGCGGGACACUUCUGCAACUUUCAUACGGAAAGAGGCUUGAAUCUAAGAGGAAAAAAUACAUCAAGUUUGUUUAUUUUCUGUGGUUAUGUUUUUUUAAAAUACAGUCGAUUUUACUUAUUUGGAUCAUUGAUUAAUUGGGAUAGCAGUUUAUUUGGAAUUAGUUCAACUUAAAAAGUAUUAUUUAAUAACAUAAUUGGGAUAAUAAUGUUGUGGCAAGAUAGAUGGAUAAUGUCGUGUAAAGGACGCAUAACAUAUGAAAUCAAAUCGAGCCAACAAUUAUAAAAAGAAUGUUUCACCCGAUGACAGUGCAAAUUAUAUCAGGACAUGGAAGAUUUCCUGCAUAUUUCUACAGAUUUGGAAGGAUGCAAGACAAGGUAUAUGGGGAAAUAGGCUCGAAUCAGCACUACAUAACAGAAUGUGUCGAACUCAGUGCAAUUAGGGGAUGACUCAUAACGGAUGGGAUAAUUUUAAAACAAUAUUAUAAUAUCUAGAAAUUUAUUUUAAAACGAUGGAGAAGAUUUCUAAUCUUUUACCAAUAGUUUGAAAUUUCUUUGAACUUUUGUUGGUCGUUUUUUUUAUGCAAAAGUUGGAACAGUUAUUGAGCAUAACAGCCAGUCACAAUAAUUCCUGUUUAACGGGGUGAGUAGUUGUAAAUAAAAAAAAAUUGGGAUAACAGAAGAUGCAUUUUAAAAUAAGAUUCAUACGAUUUUCUAAUCGCUCUGAACUGAUAUCGCUAAGCGGAUGGAGAUUAUGUUUCAGCACAUUUAAAUCUUUUAUUGAACUUUGCAAGUCAAUUAUUUUUAGUCAGCUAUUAUAAUUAUACCGCUUUGCCUGUAUAACAGAGAAUAUAUUUGUAUUCUAUAGAAUUAAUAGACCUUGUCAAAAUGCUAAGAAAGGCUUUUUCACAUUUAAGUAAAAUUACUUUGCCGGUUAAAAUUAAAAGCCAUCGAUUUCAAACAACACUCAUAUGUUUUCUCAGUUAACUAGUUUAAAAUCUGCUUUAUUUCAAAGAAAUAAAUUACAAUUUCUUUGGAAUAAUAGCCAUUGCAGAAAGGACAAAUACGAACUCCAAAAGAAAGAUAGCGUAGAGCGGAAGAAGCGGAUCGACGUAUUUUAUCAUAAUUAGUAUAGCAAAGUGUAGGUACAGCAUAGAUAAGUAGUUUGUACCUUAAUUUACUUUUCAAUAAUUUGUUAUAAUACGGAAAGAACGUUGUUUUUAUUUAAUUUUACAGGACAUUCACAAUAUUGACGGCGAUGCCGACUGUAGUCCUACUUUUGAAUAACGUGUAGACUAUUUCAUAGGCGAGGACAAAAUACUAUAUGCCCUAAGCAGGUCCCAUCCUAGUCUGUUUUAUAGCUUAACUUUUGAAUUGAGACAGAUGACGCAGUAGACAUUGCUUGCUAGCACUGUAAAUGGAUUUCUGUUUCGCUCAUUUAGAAUUAUAAUUAUCAGAAAAAUUCAACACUUUAAGGAGAUGGGCGUCAAUUUGUGCGUGGAAUAGAACAAAUAGAUAACAACGAAAGGGCAGCAAUAUAAUCGUAAUAGGAACAAUAUAGGAACAUCGCCGAAACUUUGCUAAUUUACACCAGAACUGAUGAGAUUUUGGAGUAUUUUGAAGCAGCAGCUAUGAUGUAAAUCAACAACGAGAGAUGCAUAUACUUGAUUUGGCAAAAGAGGCAAUGCGUCGUAUGAAACAGGUCCUGGCGCAACUAUAUUAGCCUUUGUCCGUGACAUUGCAGUUUCUUGAUCGAGUAUCAGGUGAAUACAGCAUUAAAGAAUAUUUACAUUCAUUUCAAGUGAAAUGAUGUAGCGUAAAAUGUUGUCAAAUAAAAAGCUUUCCUUCUUGUUGACUUA